AACGUAGGUACCGAGCGUUAUCCGGAUUUACUGGGCGUAAAGAGCGCGCAGGCGGUCGUUCAAGUCGCGUGUGAAAGCCCCCGGCUCAACUGGGGAGGGUCACGCGAUACUGAUCGACUCGAAGGCAGGAGAGGGUAGUGGAAUUCCCGGUGUAGUGGUGAAAUGCGUAGAUAUCGGGAGGAACACCAGUGGCGAAGGCGACUACCUGGCCUGUUCUUGACGCUGAGGCGCGAAAGCUAGGGGAGCAAACGGG
This 253-nucleotide ribosomal RNA is filed under the name uncultured bacterium. RNAcentral describes it as "partial 16S ribosomal RNA". It matches the Rfam family "Bacterial small subunit ribosomal RNA", at positions 524 to 776 of the family's 1533-position model. The record is from RNAcentral.